This 3040-nucleotide long non-coding RNA is filed under the name Homo sapiens (human). RNAcentral describes it as "HSALNT0012013". Lineage: Eukaryota; Metazoa; Chordata; Mammalia; Primates; Hominidae. The record is from RNAcentral.
GUGAACCUGGGAGGCCGAGCUUGCAGUGAGCCAAGAUAGUGCCAUUGCACUCUAGCCUGGGUGACAGAGCAAGACUCUGUCUCAAAAAAAUAAAAAAAAAUAAAACACAGAAGUACGUACCUCCUGAAUGAGUGACAACAGUUUUUAUUGUUUGAUGAAUGAAGGAAUGGGAAACAUCCUUAGCUUAAGGAAGUCUCUAUUAAAGAUGUAUCUCAUAGGCCUCAAAGAACCACUUUCAGUGUAUAGGAUCUCACACUUGACAACUACUAGGCACUCAUUGACAUAAAUACCCCCAUACCAAUUUUCCCAACAGUUAGUCAAUUGCGGCACUCUCUGAGGCCCCCAGAAAACUGACUCCUCAAAAUAGUAGCAAAGGUAGAUGAACUCACAGGUGCUUGGUGCUGAGGAGCAGAGGCAUCUGAUGAGGCUAAAAGUGGGCAGGAGUGAAAAAAAGGUGAGUAUGAAAGACACCUCCAGCAAACAAAACUGGCUAACGUUUUGCUUAUAGCCAUCCUUGUUAGCAUCUUCACACUUUAUACCACCCAAUGCUGAGGAGAGAUGAAUCAGUCAAGGAGGCCCCCCUCCUCCCAUAUGUACAUGUUUUUACCCAUUCAUUUCAUGAUUUAGUAAACACCAACUAUAAAACAUUCAAGUUCUAUCAUAAGCAAAUCCUACCCUCUAAAAACUAGUAUACAGUAUGGGAAAUAAAAUUACCUAUAUCAGUUCAGUAAUUUGCAUCCUUAGCCUGGAAAGACUGUCAGGGCCAAGGGAAAAGUUCUCUGUGGCCCUCCGAAGUUUCUCUGAGAAGUCAACUCACAAAUGCAAAUUAAUUGGAGAAAAGGCAUACAAAUUUAUAUAAUCUGUACACACGGGAGCCCUCAGAAUGAAGACCCAAAGAUACAGGAGAAAGUGUCCAUUUUUAUGCUGAGGUUCAAUAAAAUACGGAUAACUAUUUAGAAAUAUGAUUGCACAAAAAGAGUAUGAUCUCAUGCUAACAGACUGAGCAGGGGAUCCCAGCAGGGCCUGUCUGUCUAGAUUCUUGGCCUCUCUGAGCAUGCAUUCCCUCCUUCUUGGUGUGAGGCAACACCAUCUCUGGAAUGAGGGUCUUAUAACCCAUAGUCAAAGAAGGUAGGUCACAUAAUUUCUUUAUGAGUAGUUUUUAUAUAGAAAGGCAGAGGGAAUGUGAGUAAUGAUUUUAGGUCUUAUGACUGGCUUUGGGGAAAGGGGGUUCUGGUGUCUACGACCUGCCUUGGGGAAAAGCGAUUCUAGUUUCUAUGGCUAGCCUAAGGGGAGAAUUGGACUGAGAAACAGGAGGGCAAGAGAAGAUCAGAGAAACACUUUUGCUUCCAAGGUCUUCAUUUUGGGGUAUUUGCUGAGUCCCAACAUCAUUCCGACUAAAUCUGUUGAAGCAAGGUUGAGAAGAGCCAGCCCACUUAUCCUUAGUGCAAAAAACUCCCAAGUGCAAAAAUAUUACUUAUCACAUAGAUCACGAAAUCCUCAGAGAAAAAGUCUUCUCUGUUAUUAGUUCCAAAAGUAAGUCUAUGUCCUCUAAAUAACUGGUUUGUUUCAGCUAAUGAACACAGUAUAUUGCAUAGACGACCCUUCUCACAUAGGCUACUAGAGAGCUGAGCCAAAUUUAUGCUUUGCUGUGCUUUUUUUUACUUUACAUCUGGCUCCACUUCUAUACUCCAAUUUUUUUUCUUGAUUUAUCUUCUGUCAUUUAUAAUAAAUAUUACGUGUUUUGUUGGAACGUGUGUAACCUUAUUCUCUUCUAAAUUUUUUGGCAUGAAAAUAUCUUCCUACCUUUUGGAAUACCCGCAGAAGCUCUGAGGAUAAGGAGGCCAGAAGACUCUGAGAUAUGUCCCCAUUAUUUCCUACAAAAGGUGGUGUCUCAUCACAUUGUUCAUAUCGAUGGGUAACUGAUGUGAUCUCAUCCUUUUAGCCAAAUGUAUAGCAUUUUACAUUUUAUAGAAUCAAGAGACUAUGUGAAAAAUCUGAGACAUGAAGACAAUUUGUGGAAACUAAAUGUUCUGCAGGACUUUCUAAGCCUAGAACAGGCCCUGAUUAAAAUCUUAAACACAACAGUAAGGAGAGUUACAGACUUCCAAACCUCUUCCAUAAUGUGUCAAAACAAUUUAAGUGAUAGGGAAGAAGAUGAUACAAGGAGACUAUUUCUCAAAAUAUUAUACAUGCUCAUAGAAAAAGACAUUUGAAACAAAGAAUCUUGGACCUGAUUAAAAUUAAGAGAAUUUUAGUAAAAUUUAAGACAUGACCAGUGACAUCGGAAUUGUACUCAUUUGGAACCUUUGAUGAGAAAACAAAGGAUGAAGGAAUUUGGUGACUUGUCCAAGGCCGUGGUGUAAGUAAAUGACCUAACCAUGAUACCUGGGCUCUCAAGAGUUAAAGUGACAUCUGUAGGCAUUUAAAGCCGACUGAUCAUUGUCUUAGGUCAGAAUCUCCAGGAGCCAACCUUGAGAUAAGGAUACAUGUAAAAGUGUUAUCAAAAAGUGUUCCAAAAAAAUGGCAGAAGGGUAGUUGGCAAAUGAGACUAGGAAUGGUAAGCCAGGCUAGAGUGUGAUAUCGAGCAAAUUCCCAAGAAAUGUUCAGUCUCACAGAGAUACUCUGGCUACAGGAUGGAUCACGCCUCAGAAUGUAUCAGUGAAGAAGCAAAAAAUCUGGAACAUUCCUACCUUCUCACCUGCCAGUCAUUCGUUAAUGACUGCCCCAGGGGAGACAUAAGUUUCCUGGCUCUCUACAUGAAUGUGCAUCGCAGCUUCCACAGGCUAAGGACAGUCACCCAACAAAGGGUUGCCAGUGCAGUGCUGAGGGUUGAGGUGAAAGCACUGGGGGAGCAGAUAUGGGAAAAAGAAGAAAGAAAAAAGCAAAGGAUAUAAAGCAAUGUAAUUGGAACACUGAUAGGAUAUGGCUAUAGUGGUAAAUGUCCUUUUUAAGAUUCCUUUACAUUCUAAAAUAGUUGCAGACACAUUUGUUUUAUGUCCCUCUUUCAUUAGGUUUUUGAAGCUGCAUUAAUAAAGUGCGA